GAUGAACGCUGGCGGCGUGCCUAGUACAUGCAAGUCGAGCGAACAGACGAGGAGCUUGCUCCUCUGACGUUAGCGGCGGACUGGUGAGUAACACGUGGAUAACCUACCUAUAAGACUGGGAUAACUUCGGGAAACCGGAGCUAAUACCGGAUAAUAUAUUGAACCGCAUGGUUCAAUAGUGAAAGACGGUUUUGCUGUCACUUAUAGAUGGAUCCGCGCCGCAUUAGCUAGUUGGUAAGGUAACGGCUUACCAAGGCAACGAUGCGUAGCCGACCUGAGAGGGUGAUCGGCCACACUGGAACUGAGACACGGUCCAGACUCCUACGGGAGGCAGCAGUAGGGAAUCUUCCGCAAUGGGCGAAAGCCUGACGGAGCAACGCCGCGUGAGUGAUGAAGGUCUUCGGAUCGUAAAACUCUGUUAUUAGGGAAGAACAAAUGUGUAAGUAACUAUGCACGUCUUGACGGUACCUAAUCAGAAAGCCACGGCUAACUACGUG
This 497-nucleotide ribosomal RNA is filed under the name uncultured bacterium. RNAcentral's name for it is "partial 16S ribosomal RNA". It matches the Rfam family "Bacterial small subunit ribosomal RNA", at positions 28 to 507 of the family's 1533-position model. The record is from RNAcentral.